This 2354-nucleotide long non-coding RNA is filed under the name Lynx canadensis (Canada lynx). Its description in RNAcentral is "lncRNA (ENSLCNG00005018045.1)". The record is from RNAcentral. Lineage: Eukaryota; Metazoa; Chordata; Mammalia; Carnivora; Felidae.
AUGGACUGGAUGAGCUGCAGGUUCCUCUCCCGGAAGUUCUCGGGCACCAGCGUUUCACAGCUCAACUGCACGGAGCCAAGUGACACAGGCCCCCGUCACUCACCCCGACCUGUGUUACUGGGGUCUCUGGCUACAGCUAGAGAAAGAGCAGGGCACGUCCGCUUGCUCAGGACACUAAGCAGGCCCACUGCCAGGUACAGGACGCCAGACACCGGAAGGCCAAAGUCCCCCAACCCCUGUGCCUGGUCCCAGCCCAGUUGUCGGCCGCUGCCACCACCGCGGGGCCGGCGCCAGGAGAACGUCAGCGGCACGCAAAUCCUCCCACCUCUUGUACCUCCAGCUUCCUCGGCGGCUCUGCUGGGCUCCACGACCACUGGCCCGGCCCACACGGCCUUGGCGGUUGUACCUGUCCACCUCCUCGUAGUCCUCGCCCCGAUGACCCCUGCGGCCGGCACACAGCCUGUCACGGGCCCGGGCCGGACCGAGGCAGGUGCUCCAGGACCCCCCCCCGAGGAUGGGCUCAGACACCUCCAGGGUCUAUGUCAGCCCCAGGCGCUCCUCACUCCACCCCACUGCCCCACCCCGCCCCCCGGGGGCAGAUAGAGGACACCAGGAGCCGACUGCUGCAAAGCGCUCCCUGUGGUCACAAUGUGCUCAGACGCUCAGGGCUCGUUGAGAGGCGAGGAGGUGCGUGUCUCCCGUCCACUGGCACACGAGGGCUCAGGUCAGGACCUGGGUCUGAGGUCUGCGGGCCCCGGGAGCGCCCGGCUGGAGCCGGAGGGAGCCCCGCUCCUCAGAGGGAAGGCUGUGCUCACCCUCGUUCCGGCGAGAGUGCCGUGGCGUGUAGCUGAACUGCAGGUCGAUCUGGCGAUUCUGGCGGGCCUCGGCACGGCUGCGGCUGUGGCAGGCCGUCCUGUGGGCCUUGAGGUCAAUCUCGGUGCGGAAGGCAUGGGUGAACUGCUCGGUGCUGCAGCGACCCUCCUCACACAGGAAGUGCUUCUCCCGAAGUGUUCGCGCAGGUAGGCGUAGUCGCUGGCGGGGGGCCGGGGUGUCAGCCGGAGCCCGUGGGCUCCGCCACCCCGGCCAGGCCCUGCCCAGCCUGCUCGGGUGCCCGGGGCCCGCGCCCACCUGUAGUAGUCUUGGGCCCCGUCCGAGUCACAGAAGUGGCAGAAGUAGUGGUCUCGCCGCAGGUGUUUCAGCAGCUCGUCGUUGUCCAGGUAGCGCUCGUCACAGAACUUGCAGAGCGGGUGCCCGCGGUGGGACGUGUCAUCGGGGUCCCCCUGCAUGCGGUGCCGCGCCAGGUCCUUGCGGAGUACCAUUUGCGCUCGUACGUGAAGAUCUGCAGGGAAGAGGGUGCUGGGCGCCGGGGGGGGGCCCUUCCCACAGCCCCGCAACACAGGGGACCCGGUGGUGCUGGUGCCAGCUCUGGGCCCCCAGACGCCAGCAGCCCCUCCCCGCCCGGGCUGCGCGAGGCAGGACAGCUGGGGGGACCCGCAUGGCAGCGGGGGGGCUGGGGUGGCGAGCAGGAGAGAGCGGGGUGGGGCGCACCUUGAGGUGCCUGAGGCACAGCUUGCAGCAGAAGAGCUCGUGCUGCCUCCGCAUGCUGCUCCAGGUCUCCGAAGAGGCCGAACGGCGGCAGCUCGGGGCACUGUGGGCACUCGUGCUGAAGCAGCUGCCUAGAGACACAUCGGGCCCCCCGGGCCGUGCGGGCACUCAGGGCACCGGCCGGAGUGAGCCCUGGCGCCUACUCACAGUCUCUGCGUGCGCUUUGGGAAGAGCCAGGACGACGGGCACCCGGCACGCCCACCAGCGCAGGGGCCCCGCGGUUGAGCCCGGCUGCGGGAUGGCCGACCUCUGCGUAGGGCGGGCACGGUGACUACCACACUGGGAGCCAGCCCCUCACCCGCCCCGCGACAGCCGCGCCCUUCAUGGGGUUUCCUGCCACGGGCUAAGAUCCCAACUCACGCGGGCUUGCGUGCGCCUCACACGCCCCAGAAAGCCGGCACCGCGCUACAACCCAGCGCUUUCCCUAGACUCGCCCCGCCCAUCCACCCCUGCUGGGCUGACGCCAGGAAAGCAGGGGGGCCCUGACACGCACGCUGCCCCCUCACCACCGAGGGCCGUGCCCAUCCCUGCCACAAGCCCCUCCCCAGACCCAGGCUGGCUGCGGGCCCCUGGGACCCCCGCUCACCUGUACAAGGCAAAAACUUUCCCGUCCGCGAAAUAGAUGUCAUAUUUCUUCUCGUGCUGCAACUGGUGGAGGGGGAUUGUGGCAAAGGCGGGAAGCUUCUUCCCAAAGACCACCUGGAACCAAGAGUGAGGGACCUGCUGAGAAGGGCUGUGGACCCACUGGA